Molecule: long non-coding RNA, 512 nt
Filed under: Coturnix japonica (Japanese quail)
Lineage: Eukaryota; Metazoa; Chordata; Aves; Galliformes; Phasianidae
Description: lncRNA (ENSCJPG00005000784.1)
Source: RNAcentral
ACAAUACUGAAGAAAAAAAAACAUAAAAAAAUUCCAUUUCUUUCUGUUCCUUUCUAUUUUUAUUUUUUUUUCAUCAUCAUUAGGAAUCUGUGAUAAGUUAGUUGGACUGGGAAAGGACUGUAAAAGAGAAGGCAGAAGCUAGUUCCAUAAAUGCACUGCACUUCAGGAAAACAAACCAUGCUUUCAUGCUGUCAUCAACACAGAUUCACAAACGAAACUGGCAUAAUUUGGACACUACAAUCAUUCCUGUAUUGUUUCAGAGUAUGCUCUGAUCCUCUUUGGGCUGACUACUUCUAUGACUGAUGAUUUAUCAGCUAAUUUCAUGAGAAGCCACAGCUUUAAAGUUCUGUUUCAUACUCCAGAACUGUGAAAAGCCUCAAGUGAGAUGAAGGUAAGUAACUGAGGUAUCUCUUAUCUUCUUAGACCUUUUUGAACCAUAUGAUCAUGUGAUAAAUCAGGGGGAAGGACCUUAUCUUAUGAAGUUUUUAGACAUGUCUUCAGCUCAGACCAGG